Molecule: small nuclear RNA, 343 nt
Filed under: Castor canadensis (American beaver)
Lineage: Eukaryota; Metazoa; Chordata; Mammalia; Rodentia; Castoridae
Description: 7SK RNA (ENSCCNG00000031169.1)
Rfam family: 7SK RNA (bases 1-285)
About the family: 7SK was discovered as an abundant small nuclear RNA in the mid-70s but a possible function has only recently been suggested. Two independent studies have found that 7SK RNA binds the CDK9/cyclin T complex (known as elongation factor P-TEFb). P-TEFb activates transcription by phosphorylating the C-terminal domain of RNA polymerase II.
Source: RNAcentral
GGAUGUGAGGGUGAUCUGGCUGCAACAUGUGUCACCCCAUUGAUUGCCAGGGUUGAUUUGGCUGAUCUGGCUAGCUAGGCGGGUGUCCCCUUCCUCCCUCAUGGUUCCAUAUGCGUCCUUCCCAAAGCUGUGCGCUCGAUUGAAGAGAACUACCAUCCCUGAUAGAAGAGGACCAUUCUUCAAUCAAGGGUAUACAGGUAGCUUUGCUGCCCUGCUAGAACCUCCAAACAAGCUCUGAAGAAUUUCUAGAAAUAAGAAUUCUGAAGAAAUUCAGAAUGCCCUCCUGAAUUGAAUUGGUUGUUAAACCCCGCCCCCCAAUAGCAAUUCUACAUAACCAGUGUUG